AGAGUUUGAUCCUGGCUCAGGAUGAACGCUAGCUACAGGCUUAACACAUGCAAGUCGAGGGGAAACGACAUCGAAAGCUUGCUUUUGAUGGGCGUCGACCGGCGCACGGGUGAGUAACGCGUAUCCAACCUGCCCACCACUUGGGGAUAACCUUGCGAAAGUAAGACUAAUACCCAAUGAUAUCUCUAGAAGACAUCUGAAAGAGAUUAAAGAUUUAUCGGUGAUGGAUGGGGAUGCGUCUGAUUAGCUUGUUGGCGGGGUAACGGGCCCACCAAGGCGACGAUCAGUAGGGGUUCGUGAGAGGAAGGUCCCCCACCAUUGGAACUGAGACACGGUCCAAACUCCUACGAGAGGCAGCA
This 359-nucleotide ribosomal RNA is filed under the name uncultured bacterium. RNAcentral's name for it is "bacterial SSU rRNA". It matches the Rfam family "Bacterial small subunit ribosomal RNA", at positions 8 to 353 of the family's 1533-position model. The record is from RNAcentral.